GACGAACGCUGGCGGCGUGCUUAACACAUGCAAGUCGAACGGAAAGGCCCCUUUGGGGGUACUCGAGUGGCGAACGGGUGAGUAACACGUGAGUAACCUGCCCUUGACUUCGGGAUAACUUCAGGAAACUGGGGCUAAUACCGGAUAGGAAUCCUUGCUGCCUGGAGGGGGUUGGAAAGCUUCGGCGGUUUUGGAUGGACUCGCGGCCUAUCAGCUUGCUGGUGGGGGAGUGGCUUACCAAGGCUUUGACGGGUAGCCGGCCUGAGAGGGCGACCGGCCAAAUUGGGACUGGGAAUCGGCCCAGACUCCUACGGGAGGCAGCAGUGGGGAAUAUUGCACAAAGGGCGGAAGCCUGAUGCAGCAACGCCGCGGGCGGGAUGACGGCCUUCGGGUUGUAAACCGCUUUCAGCAGGGGCGAAGCUUGUGGUGACGGUACCUGCAGAAGAAGCACCGGCUAACUACGUG
This 465-nucleotide ribosomal RNA is filed under the name uncultured bacterium. Its description in RNAcentral is "partial 16S ribosomal RNA". It matches the Rfam family "Bacterial small subunit ribosomal RNA", at positions 28 to 507 of the family's 1533-position model. The record is from RNAcentral.